RNAcentral lists this ribosomal RNA (469 nucleotides) under uncultured bacterium. RNAcentral describes it as "partial 16S ribosomal RNA". It matches the Rfam family "Bacterial small subunit ribosomal RNA", at positions 28 to 507 of the family's 1533-position model. The record is from RNAcentral.
GAUGAACGCUGGCGGCGUGCUUAACACAUGCAAGUCGAACGAUGAAGCUGGAGCUUGCUCUGGUGGAUUAGUGGCGAACGGGUGAGUAACACGUGAGCAACCUGCCCCUGACUCUGGGAUAACAGCCGGAAACGGCUGCUAAUACCGGAUAUGCACCAUGAACGCAUGUUCUGUGGUGGGAAAGAUUUUUCGGUUGGGGAUGGGCUCGCGGCCUAUCAGCUUGUUGGUGAGGUAAUGGCUCACCAAGGCGUCGACGGGUAGCCGGCCUGAGAGGGUGACCGGCCACACUGGGACUGAGAAACGGCCCAGACUCCUACGGGAGGCAGCAGUGGGGAAUAUUGCACAAUGGGCGAAAGCCUGAUGCAGCAACGCCGCGUGAGGGAUGACGGCCUUCGGGUUGUAAACCUCUUUUAGCAGGGAAGAAGCGAGAGUGACGGUACCUGCAGAAAAAGCGCCGGCUAACUACGUG